GGGCCCGUAGCUCAACGGAUAGAGUACGUGGCUUCGAACCACGCGGUCCAGGUUCGAUUCCUGGCGGGCCCA
Molecule: transfer RNA, 72 nt
Filed under: Elusimicrobiota bacterium
Lineage: Bacteria; Pseudomonadati; Elusimicrobiota
Description: Elusimicrobia bacterium (groundwater metagenome) tRNA-Arg
Rfam family: tRNA
About the family: Transfer RNA (tRNA) molecules are approximately 80 nucleotides in length.
Source: RNAcentral